RNAcentral lists this ribosomal RNA (568 nucleotides) under uncultured bacterium. RNAcentral describes it as "bacterial SSU rRNA". It matches the Rfam family "Bacterial small subunit ribosomal RNA", at positions 389 to 968 of the family's 1533-position model. The record is from RNAcentral.
CAUUGACGCCGCGUGAGGGAUGAAGGCCUUCGGGUUGUAAACCUCUUUCAGCAGGGAAUAAGCGAAAGUGAAGGUACCUGCAGAAGAAGCACCGGCUAACUAUGUGCCAGCAGCCGCGGUAAUACAUAGGGUGCAAGCGUUGUCCGGAAUUAUUGGGCGUAAAGAGCUCGUAGGUGGUCGAUCACGUCGGAUGUGAAAAUCUGAGGCUUAACCUCAGACCUGCAUUCGAUACGGGUUGACUAGAGUGUGGUAGGGGAGACUGGAAUUCCUGGUGUAGCGGUGGAAUGCGCAGAUAUCAGGAGGAACACCGAUGGCGAAGGCAGGUCUCUGGGCCAUUACUGACACUGAGGAGCGAAAGUGUGGGGAGCGAACAGGAUUAGAUACCCUGGUAGUCCACACCGUAAACGGUGGGCGCUAGUUGUGGGAACCUUCCACGGUUUCUGCGACGCAGCUAACGCAUUAAGCGCCCCGCCUGGGGAGUACGGUCGCAAGACUAAAACUCAAAGAAAUUGACGGGGCCCCGCACAAGCAGCGGAGCAUGCGGCUUAAUUCGACGCAACGCGAAGAA